GCCGAUAUGGGAUAAAGGUAUUCCAGUAGCUUGCUAAGCUAUCCAACAGAAAUGUUGUUCGUGUUCGAUUCACGAUGUCGGCA
Molecule: transfer RNA, 83 nt
Filed under: Caudoviricetes sp.
Lineage: Duplodnaviria; Heunggongvirae; Uroviricota; Caudoviricetes
Description: tRNA-Ser
Rfam family: tRNA
About the family: Transfer RNA (tRNA) molecules are approximately 80 nucleotides in length. Their secondary structure includes four short double-helical elements and three loops (D, anti-codon, and T loops).
Source: RNAcentral